UGGGUCUAAUACCGAAUAUGACCGAUACUCGCAUGGGUGUUGGUGGAAAGCUCCGGCGGUUUGGGAUGGGCCCGCGGCCUAUCAGCUUGUUGGUGGGGUAAUGGCCUACCAAGGCGACGACGGGUAGCCGGCCUGAGAGGGCGACCGGCCACACUGGGACUGAGACACGGCCCAGACUCCUACGGGAGGCAGCAGUGGGGAAUAUUGCACAAUGGGCGCAAGCCUGAUGCAGCGACGCCGCGUGAGGGAUGACGGCCUUCGGGUUGUAAACCUCUUUCACCAGGGACGAAGCGAAAGUGACGGUACCUGGAGAAGAAGCACCGGCCAACUACGUGCCAGCAGCCGCGGUAAUACGUAGGGUGCGAGCGUUGUCCGGAAUUACUGGGCGUAAAGAGCUCGUAGGCGGUUUGUCGCGUCGUUCGUGAAAACUUGGGGCUUAACUCCAAGCGUGCGGGCGAUACGGGCAGACUUGAGUACUACAGGGGAGACUGGAAUUCCUGGUGUAGCGGUGAAAUGCGCAGAUAUCAGGAGGAACACCGGUGGC
RNAcentral lists this ribosomal RNA (544 nucleotides) under Williamsia sp. RNAcentral's name for it is "bacterial SSU rRNA". It matches the Rfam family "Bacterial small subunit ribosomal RNA", at positions 158 to 716 of the family's 1533-position model. The record is from RNAcentral. Lineage: Bacteria; Bacillati; Actinomycetota; Actinomycetes; Mycobacteriales; Nocardiaceae.